UUUGCUUGUUUUUUAGAGGCAGGGUCUUGCUCUUGUCACCCAGGCUGGAGUGCAGUGGCACGAUCACAGCUCACUGCAGCCUCAACUUCCUGAGCUCAAGCGAUUCUCCUGUCUCAGCCUCUCGAGUAGCUGGGAUUAUAGGCAUGAGCCACCACGCCUGGCUAAUUUUUGUAUUUUUUUUAUAGAGAUGAGGUCUUGCCAUAUUGCCCAGGCUGGUUUCAAACUCCUAGGCUCAAGUGAUCUGCCUGCCUCAGCCUCCUGAAGUGCUGGGAUUACAGGCAUGAGCCACCAUGCCCAGCCUGCCCAGCCUCCUCAGUUCCAGAUUUUGAGGAAGCUGUCCCAGGAACCUGUGGCCACAGCCAUCCCAUCAGCUGUGACUCCCAGGCAGCUGACCCUGUUAUCGUGGCCAGAGAGGAUGCCUGAGGAAGAGGGAAAGGAGUCAGCCUGUCUUUCCAAGCUGAUUUGGAAAGCAGUGUGUGCAUGCGUAUGAAGAAACUGAGGCCCAUGGAGGAGUGACUUGUGCAAGGACACUCAGAAAGUGAGCAACAGAAUUAGGAUUUGGAUUCUGCCCCUGGCCAGUGUUAUUUUCAUCAGCACCUGGCCUCUUGAUAGAGAAGAAGCCAUCCUAUCUGACCAACUUCAGGCUAGUCUUAGAUGAGCCCUAGGCUGCAGUCAGGGCCCUCGGGCCACUCCAGAUCUCCUUGAUUCUGCCUUGAUUCCAUGUUUCCCUGAGGCUGUCUUGCCUCUCAGUGGGUGCCCCUGAAAUGCCAGGAACCCAGAACUGACCGGACAGUCAUGGUCCACAGAUCUCCUAGGGCAGGGAGCAGUCAUGGCAUUGGGCAGUGGAGAGAGGCUGCUUAGAGCAACACUGAGGGAAAACAGUCCUAGUUGGGAACCAAGGGGUACUGGAUUCCAGGGGUGGAGUCACCCAGUGACAAGGGACAGCAGUAAGAGAGUCCGAAAUGGGAGCUGAUGGGGGGUACAGAAUGGGGAGGGAGGGCUGGGGAGGGUCCUUCCAGCUGAGGAAGCAGCAGCCAGGGCUGGCCCUUACCCACACGCUCAGACUUCAUGGAGUCCCAGACAUUGCAGUUGAAGUCGUCGUAGCCAGCAAAUAGCAGGCGGCCACUGAGGGAGAAGGCCACGGACGUGAUGCCGCAGAUGAUGCUCUCGUGGGAGAAGCAGAUCAGCUCCUGGUCUGCCCGCAGGUCAAACAAGCGGCAGGAAGCGUCAUCCGAGCCCGUGCAGAUGGCCUCUCCAUUGGGGAAGAACUGAGGGCACGGGUGGCAAGUGGGUCAGGGAUCAGACCUGGGCAGCCCACAGCCUCUCCCACCCUCUGCCUCCCACCUGACAGCUCCAGGGCAAGCCGCUGCUCUCAGCCUCCCUGCCUGUCCCUUCCUUGGUUUGGGGUGAGAAGCAGCCCUGCCAACACAUACCACGUGCCAGUGACUUCCCUAUGCCCCUCGCCCGCUCUGCACUAUACAGCGCUGCAGGCAGGCAUCAUUUCCAUGUCGCAGGCAAGAGCACCAAGGCUUGCCUGCAGUGACCCGGCUAGAAGGGCGGACGGAGGUUGUCCCAGACUCCCAGACUACACAAGUGGGCUGGAUCAGGGUGUGCAAGAACAGGGUCCAGUACAAAUGCAAGGCCUGGAUCUCAUGGCGAGCAAAUGUCAGAUAAGCUCAAACGGAGGGAGAGUCUACAGAAAACUGGUUUGUACUCUUCAAAAAUGUCAAUGACAUAAAAGACAAAGGUGGGAAAACAGUUCCAGUUUAAAGGUGGUGACGAAAAAGAUAUGGCGAGGAAAGGUAAUGCACGUUUCUGGAUUGGAUCCUGGACAGAAAAAAACAUGAGCUAUUAUGGACAUUUUUGAGGCUAUUGGUGAAAUUUGAAUAUAGACUGUAGACUGUAGUAUUGUGUCAAUGUUGAGUUUCCUGAUCUUAAGAAUCAUACAGUGAUUAUGCUACAGAAGGGCUUUGUUUCAGGAAGUACUUAAGGGGU
RNAcentral lists this small RNA (1995 nucleotides) under Pan troglodytes (chimpanzee). RNAcentral's name for it is "processed transcript". The record is from RNAcentral. Lineage: Eukaryota; Metazoa; Chordata; Mammalia; Primates; Hominidae.